CUCUUUUGGGCUUCCUCCAGGGAUAUAGGCGUGGGAUAAUUCGUCCCAAAUUUGGUCGCUGUUCCACCAACAGAUUGAACCACGUGGUGCUGGUUGUGGGAUACGGCCAAUGUGGUCGCCAUCGCUACUGGAUCAUUAAGAACAGUUGGGGAGUUAACUGGGGCGAAAAGGGUUAUUUCCGUCUCUACCGUGGGGAGAACGCCUGUGGGAUCAAUCAGCACCCGUGCACGUGCGUCAUCUAGACAGAGGACCAAGAGACCACACCAACGCCCCUCAGCUUUCCGUUGGACGCCUCCUUGAAGGGGAGGGGGUCUGCUUUCGCCACCGCACGCAAAGGGUUGCGGGAGGGCGGUUUAUGGGGUGGGUGUCCCACCUCCUCGCCCGAUUCCCAGCGCCCCGUCCUCCGCCCGCUUUCAGGCUUUCGGCCCGUAUCGGAGCCUGCCCUCCCGCGAACGAUGGCUCCGUCGCGACUGGCUGCUCCCUUCUUCCCGAACGCUGCCAGAUUCCCGCCGGGAACCUCUUCUCCCCGUUUCUGCGCGUGCCUUUUAAUAAACUGCCCAUGACCAUC
Molecule: non-coding RNA, 568 nt
Organism: Chiloscyllium plagiosum (whitespotted bambooshark)
Lineage: Eukaryota; Metazoa; Chordata; Chondrichthyes; Orectolobiformes; Hemiscylliidae
Source: RefSeq, a predicted model, not a curated record